Molecule: ribosomal RNA, 440 nt
Filed under: uncultured bacterium
Lineage: Bacteria
Description: partial 16S ribosomal RNA
Rfam family: Bacterial small subunit ribosomal RNA
Source: RNAcentral
CCUACGGGAGGCAGCAGUAGGGAAUAUUGCACAAUGGGGGAAACCCUGAUGCAGCAACGCCGCGUGAGUGAUGAAGUAUUUCGGUUUGUAAACUCCUAUUGUCAGAGAAGAUAAUGACGGUAUCUGACGAAUAAGCACCGGCUAACUCCGUGCCAGCAGCCGCGGUAAUACGGAGGGUGCAAGCGUUACUCGGAAUUACUGGGCGUAAAGAGCGCGUAGGCGGGAUAGCAAGUCAGAUGUGAAAUCCUAUGGCUUAACCAUAGAACUGCAUUUGAAACUGUGAUUCUAGAGUAUGGGAGAGGUAGGCGGAAUUCUUGGUGUAGGGGUAAAAUGCGUAGAGAUUAAGAGGAAUACUCGUGGCGAAGGCGACCUGCUAGAACAUAACUGACGUUGAGGCGCGAAAGCGUGGGGAGCAAACAGGAUUAGAUACCCGAGUAGUC